This is a long non-coding RNA of Vespula pensylvanica (western yellowjacket), 224 nucleotides long. RefSeq lists it as uncharacterized. The transcript has 3 exons. The record is from RefSeq and is a predicted model, not a curated record. Lineage: Eukaryota; Metazoa; Arthropoda; Insecta; Hymenoptera; Vespidae.
GAUCUACUUUCCUUCCUUGUCAGUCGUCUAGUCGCCAUUUUGGACGCGAUGACAAGUGUACACGGUGUUUCGUCGCUCCGCAUAAUUACAGAUUUCUAAGAAUUUCUACAUACAGAGCGUCGAAUAUACCAGUGUUUACAUCUCUUCAAUACGACAUGUUAUCCGUCAUCGAAUUUACUUCUGCAGCUAUUAUUUUAUUUUAGAAUUAUUAUAUAUUACGACAG